Molecule: long non-coding RNA, 1328 nt
Organism: Tetranychus urticae (two-spotted spider mite)
Lineage: Eukaryota; Metazoa; Arthropoda; Arachnida; Trombidiformes; Tetranychidae
Source: RefSeq, a predicted model, not a curated record
UCGUCUUAUUGCAUAAGUAAUAAAGUUUUUUUUCUUGUAUUUAUUAUUUAAUUGUUAGCUUUCAUUUUGGAUUACUUCACAGUUUUUGGCAUUUUAAUUUGAUUCUUUGUGGUGUAAUGCUAGUGUUUUGCACAUGGUAUGGACAAUGGAUGAAGUUAUUAUCAAUCAAUGUCUAUUUUGUUACAAUUGCCUUUUUCCUAUUGUUGCGUCCAUUUUUCCUACUCGUGAAUCAUGAGUUUACAUGUUUCUUUUCAAUCUAAUUGACUCUUGAUUGUAUUGAUAGUUGAUAAAGAGGUUAAAAAACGUGUCUGUUAAAGCUGAAAACUCGAAGCAAAAUUUCCAUUCACUUGCCUGGAUCGAGCCAAUUUAUCCUGGAAUGGUUAUUGAAUAUACUUUUUGGCCUCGUAUAUAGACAUCCAAACAAACAGCUAAUUUCAAUAUUUUGAAAAUUUUGUCAAUUUUCAGAGCAAAAGGAAAAAUUAAAUCAAAUUGAUAUCAAAUUUGAUGGCAUGAAAACUGAAUCUUUUCAAAGCAAUUUCAUCAAGUAAAGGUUAUUAGGUGUGGUGCCAAUUGCUCUUAAUGGUGUUUAAAAAAAGGAAAGCCAUUGAUAUUGAUAUUGGAGAUAAUCACCUUUUCUUUCAGCAUCAUCCCUGUAAUCAAGGUAAAAUAAACAAAAAUUCAUUGAUUCCUGAUUGCAGUUGACGAGCCAAACUGAUGGAAUGAACAAAAAAUGAGCUAAAAAUAGGGGAAUAAGCAUGAGAAGCAAGUGUUGCUGAUUCCUCCGCUGAUGAUGAUAAUGAUGAUUACAAGUCUUCUCUCUCAUCUUUUCUUCUUCCUAUUCUUCUUCUCUUCCCUUCGUCAUCAUGAUCAUCCUUGUGACCUCAAAAGUGAAUCCAUUGAUAAUGCAUAGAGAUGGGAAUCGACUCAAAAAGACAGAAAAAUUUCUUCAGAGAAAGCCAGAAUUGACUAAAUUAGGAAGUUGAGAUAACUUUAUUUCCGAUAUCAUCCAUCCCACAUCUUUUCUUGCCAUUUUACUUUUUAUCAUCGCCAUCUCCAUCAUAACCAAUCUUCAUCACCUUUAUCUGUCUUUAUCAACCCAUGUUUCAAGAGUGAAUCAAUUAUGAAAAGUAACAACUGAAUGUCAACAUUUCUCGGCUUUAAUAAGCCUCAACAAAAUUUCAUGUUCACUCAAAUCAAGGUUAACUGGCAAUUUUUUCACCAUUUUUUGCCAAUUUUUUUGAUGACUUUCCUCUUCAAACCAGAUUAACCCAAUUUUUUCAUAGUUAAUAAAUGUUGCUACCACAUUACACAGCAAUCAUUAGGAUAAA